RNAcentral lists this ribosomal RNA (468 nucleotides) under uncultured bacterium. RNAcentral's name for it is "partial 16S ribosomal RNA". It matches the Rfam family "Bacterial small subunit ribosomal RNA", at positions 28 to 507 of the family's 1533-position model. The record is from RNAcentral.
GACGAACGCUGGCGGCGUGCUUAACACAUGCAAGUCGAACGGAAAGGCCCUGCUUUUGUGGGGUACUCGAGUGGCGAACGGGUGAGUAACACGUGAGUAACCUGCCCUUGACUUUGGGAUAACUUCAGGAAACUGGGGCUGAUACCGGAUAGGAGCUCCUGCUGCAUGGUGGGGGUUGGAAAGUUUCGGCGGUUGGGGAUGGACUCGCGGCUUAUCAGCUUGUUGGUGGGGUAGUGGCUUACCAAGGCUUUGACGGGUAGCCGGCCUGAGAGGGUGACCGGCCACAUUGGGACUGAGAUACGGCCCAGACUCCUACGGGAGGCAGCAGUGGGGAAUAUUGCACAAUGGGCGGAAGCCUGAUGCAGCAACGCCGCGUGCGGGAUGACGGCCUUCGGGUUGUAAACCGCUUUCGCCUGUGACGAAGCGUGAGUGACGGUAAUGGGUAAAGAAGCACCGGCUAACUACGUG